GGGUCCUGUGGGUGGAGGAUUCAGGAAUGGGAACUGGUACUUGGGUGGGGAAGACUGGCUGGGUCUGAGUUUUUGCUAUUCUUGCUCCCCAAGGAGCCCCGGGCACUGUGGUGUCUCCAGUCCCCACCCCAGGUCAGGAGGCCAGCUUGGUCUAGGAGGAGAGGCUGGACUUUGGAGGGUUUUUCUGGCAUUGUCUGCCCAGCUGCUCCAAGCCAGGCUGAUGAAGGAGGAGUCCCCUGUGGUGACUGGAGGUUGGAGCCUGAAGAUGGCACAGCUCUGUGAUUCAUCUCCUG
Molecule: long non-coding RNA, 293 nt
Filed under: Pan troglodytes (chimpanzee)
Lineage: Eukaryota; Metazoa; Chordata; Mammalia; Primates; Hominidae
Description: long non-coding RNA NONPTRT017803
Source: RNAcentral